This 1610-nucleotide long non-coding RNA is filed under the name Leguminivora glycinivorella. RNAcentral's name for it is "uncharacterized LOC125236385". Lineage: Eukaryota; Metazoa; Arthropoda; Insecta; Lepidoptera; Tortricidae. The record is from RNAcentral.
GACACACUUUUUGACCUAACUACUCAUUCUGGUUUAACUGUAAUUCUGUGCUGAGCUGUCACUAUGACAAAAAGUGAUGGGUCCAAAUUAAACUGGAAGAUAUAAUUAAAAAUGUUUCUUAAACAUAGCUACUAUAGUCUGCCAAACCAGUUUGUCACCAGAAAGAGGCGCGAAAUUAUUUUUUUCUAUGGGACACUAAACUCUCGCUCCUACAUAUUCAAAAUUAGUAUUUUCUUGUUACGUUUGUUGUACGUUUUACGUACAAGAGACAAGAACACAAAAUACAGAAUGAAUACGUAAUAUAGAACGUAGCGUAUGUUCGGAAACAGGAGAGUCGUGAAAUGUGUAAUUCUGUGACUCUUUUGUUUCUGCACCGAUCAGACUAUCUAUUUGCUGUCCUCAUUUUGUAUGUUGGUUGUGUUUCCCAAUGACUGCCGCUGGGCUAGCGUUCCAUGAUUACGUGCAAUUGUGACAAUCAGCUUAUUCACGCGUUACCACUAUCUAUAGAAAAAUAAAUCACCUAUUAAGUAGUAGAAGCACUAAUUAAGUAUCAAUUUCGCUCUAAUUAUUAUAUUACGUAUGUAGGUACAGACAAAAAAAAAAGAAAGAGAGUUAACCAAAACUCUAACACUCAAAUGAACAUACAAGUAAUUUUAAGAGCUAGAGGGCGGCCUAUCAACUGAAGCGCCGGCAAGACGCCACGUACAGGGCGUCGCUAGAUGGCGUUGCCGCAGUGAUCAAAAUUAAACUACUGCACUGAUUGACUGAUUACGAUUAGACUAUGGAAAGAUAGGAAGGCCCACUUGCACCAACCACUUAACUCAGGGUUAGUGGGCUGUCAUAGGGCCACUUGCACCAAAGAAAAUGGUAACCCUCCAUUUACCCGAGGGUUAACCGACCAUUUUAUAUGGAAUUUGAUAGAUGACAGCCCACUAACCCUGAGUUAAGAGGUUGGUAAUAAGCAUACUUUUUGCGUUACAUUUAUAUUUUCUAAUAAAAUUCAUAAAAGCACUGGAUUUUACAAAUCACACCGGUUUAUAAAACACAUCUAUAAUUAUAAUAAUUAUACAUAAUGUAAUAUUAUCACUUAUCACACUAUGAUCCCAAGAUAAUGAUAACGUAUCUCAGCUCUUGCAACGCUCAAAACAACCCAAGUGGCUAUCACUCGAUACAUAACAACGCACAAAUAUAUUUCAUUUCAGUGUAAAAUACUUGGAAAAAAGGUUUAGGAACUUUAUAUUGCAAUGGCUCCCCGAGAAGAGAUCAUAUCGCCGCCACCAGAGCGCGCCCCUAUACAAUCUGCCCCCCGCCCCCCAGCCCCCGGGCGAUUGCAGCGCCCUCCGCAGGAUCACCCCGCUGUCUACAUACGACCUCCCGUCAACACCGUCAGGACCAACGUCGCUAUCCGACGCUAGGUGGCACUGUUCAAAUCACGACAACACAAAACAAAAUAAUAUAGCUGUGUAAGCAAUGUCACUUUCGAAAACUUGACAUGAUCAAUUUUAUUUUAAAAGUCAUAUUACUAAUACUAAUUAAGUAUUUAAGAUAAGGUAUCUAUAAUAUUAAUUUAAGUCUAUGUUGUAUGUCUCAAAUAAAUGUUUUUCCAUGAG